AGAUGUGAGGGCGAUCCGGCUACGUCACCCCAUUGAUGCCAAGGUUGAUUGGGCUGAUCUGGCUGGCCAAGCAGGUGUCCCCUCCCUCCCUCAGUACUGCAUAUGCAUCCCCGCAGAAGCUGUGCACUGUUGGAAGGGGACAGUCAGCCCUCCAUAGCCCUCUGUCCAGGGUGUAUGAGUAGCUGCGCUCCCCUUCAACAACCAGACAGGCACUCAAAAUAGGAAAAGGGCAGGGGCGGAGCUCAGCUCGAAGGCCCCGGUGCAAUCCCAGAUACGGCGGAGAAAAUGGGCAACUGUUUGCUUCAUAUUUU
Molecule: unclassified non-coding RNA, 311 nt
Organism: Cavia aperea (Brazilian guinea pig)
Lineage: Eukaryota; Metazoa; Chordata; Mammalia; Rodentia; Caviidae
Gene: 7SK
Rfam family: 7SK RNA
About the family: 7SK was discovered as an abundant small nuclear RNA in the mid-70s but a possible function has only recently been suggested. Two independent studies have found that 7SK RNA binds the CDK9/cyclin T complex (known as elongation factor P-TEFb). P-TEFb activates transcription by phosphorylating the C-terminal domain of RNA polymerase II.
Source: Ensembl